RNAcentral lists this ribosomal RNA (459 nucleotides) under uncultured bacterium. RNAcentral describes it as "partial 16S ribosomal RNA". It matches the Rfam family "Bacterial small subunit ribosomal RNA", at positions 338 to 795 of the family's 1533-position model. The record is from RNAcentral.
CCUACGGGAGGCAGCAGUGAGGAAUAUUGGUCAAUGGUCGGGAGACUGAACCAGCCAAGCCGCGUGAGGGAUGCAGGUACAGAGUAUCGUAAACCUCUUUUGUCAGGGAACAAAGGCGGGGACGUGUCCCCGGAUGAGUGUACCUGAAGAAAAAGCAUCGGCUAACUCCGUGCCAGCCGCCGCGGUAAUACGGAGUAUGCGAGCGUUAUCCGGAUUUGUUGGGUUUAACGGGUGGGCAGGCGGUCGUGUAAGUCAGCGGUCAAACCCCGGGGCUCACCCCCGGCCCGCGGUUGAAACUGGCAGUCUCGAGUUGGAGAGAAGUAUGCGGAAUGCGCGGUGUAGCGGUGAAAUGCAUAGAUAUCGCGCAGAACUCCGAUUGCGAAGGCAGCAUGCCGGCUCCACACUGACGCUGAGGCACGAAAGCGUGGGUAUCGAACAGGAUUAGAUACCCGGGUAGUC